AAUGAACGCUGGCGGCAUGCCUAACACAUGCAAGUCGAACGAAGUCUUCGGACUUAGUGGCGCACGGGUGCGUAACACGUGGGAAUGUACCCAGGGGUGCGGAAUAACAGUUAGAAAUGACUGCUAAUACCGCAUAAUGACUUCGGUCCAAAGAUUUAUCGCCCUUGGAUCAGCCCGCGCCGGAUUAGCUUGUUGGUGAGGUAAAAGCUCACCAAGGCGACGAUCCGUAGCUGGUCUGAGAGGAUGAUCAGCCACACUGGGACUGAGACACGGCCCAG
Molecule: ribosomal RNA, 278 nt
Filed under: uncultured bacterium
Lineage: Bacteria
Description: partial 16S ribosomal RNA
Rfam family: Bacterial small subunit ribosomal RNA
Source: RNAcentral